AUUAAACCCAGGGGUGCUCUACCACUAAGCUACACCCCCCCCAGUUCUUCUAAUUUUUAUUUUUGUUUUAAUUUUGAGACAGGAUCUCACUAAAUUGCUCAGGUUGGGCAAUAGUGAGAGGUCAUAUGCAUGUGCUCUAGUUGACAGUCUCAGCCUGUGUCCCAACCUGUGGCCAGCAUGCUUCUGCCUCAGCCUCCAGAGUAGCUGGGAUUACAGGCAUACACCCCUGCACCACGCUGAUAUUCAUUCAGUCUAUCAGAUACAGGAUAAGCACACCAGAAUCUCUAUGCAAACUUUUAAGCUUGUGCAAAGCACUUCCUUAGACUUAUCUAUUAACACCAAUUAAAAGGAAUUUGGGGAAUUCAUCAGUUAAUUUUUUUUUCCAAUUAGUAAAUAUUUCAGCCAGUAUUUUCAAGUCCUGUGGAAGUUCUAUUUUUAAACAGACAACCCAAGAUUAAGGAAUUAUGAUACUACACCAGCUUCUCUGUUCCUCUCCACUGCUCUGUUCCCCAUAUAAUUUUCUCAGGCCCUAAUGCCUUUCUAGACCUUCUUUCCUUAUCACUGACUUGCUUUGGGGGAGAUGAAAUGGUCUUCCAGGACCUUCUACGUGGGCAGAAGGUAACAAGUCCUUCUCUGUUUCCUCAUCCACAAAAUAAGAAAAUAGAAUCACCUAACUUAACUUCAACUGGUCUAGACCACAAAAGAGGGUAUUUGUUCUUUUCCAUGGUGACAGCAUGGGGCGUCUGUAUGAGUCUGCUUGGGCUGCUAUAACAACAGCAAAAAGCAUGGAUUAGGUGGCUUAAUUUUCUCACAGAUCUGGAGGCUGGUAAGUCCAUGGUCAGGAUAUAACAAAGCAGAUUUCACUCAGAGCCCUCUUCUCUUAGCUGAUAGGCAGCUUGUAGGCAGCUGUCAUUUGCUGUGUGCUAACAUGACUACUUAGAGGAAUGUGCUGGGAAAGACCCCACAUUCUCUGGUGUCUCAUAUAAGGACAUCCAUCCUAUUGCAUAAAGGCCCCAC
This 1017-nucleotide long non-coding RNA is filed under the name Marmota monax (woodchuck). Lineage: Eukaryota; Metazoa; Chordata; Mammalia; Rodentia; Sciuridae. The record is from RNAcentral.